Molecule: ribosomal RNA, 447 nt
Filed under: uncultured bacterium
Lineage: Bacteria
Description: bacterial SSU rRNA
Rfam family: Bacterial small subunit ribosomal RNA
Source: RNAcentral
ACGAACGCUGGCGGCAUGCUUAACACAUGCAAGUCGAACGCUCUUUCCGGUUCGCCGGGGGGGGAGUGGCGCACGGGUGAGUAGCGCGUGGGAACCUGCCCUGAAGUGGGGGAUAACCGAGGGAAACUUCGGCUAAUACCGCAUACGCCGGGGGUAACUCCGGGAAAGAUUUAUCGCUUCAGGAGGGGCCCGCGUCGGAUUAGCUAGUUGGUGGGGUAACGGCCUACCAAGGCAGUGAUCCGUAGCUGGUCUGAGAGGAUGAUCCGCCACACUGGGACUGGGACACGGCCCAGACUCCUACGGGAGGCAGCAGUGGGGAAUAUUGGACAAUGGGCGCAAGCCUGAUCCAGCAAUGCCGCGUGAGUGAGGAAGGCCUUAGGGUUGUAAAGCUCUUUCACCCACGACGAUGAUGACGGUAGUGGGAGAAGAAGCCCCGGCUAACUUCGU